GGGAAAGUGGCCGAGUGGUUAUGGCGGCAGGCUGUAAACCUGCUGUCUUUUUGACUCGCGGGUUCGAAUCCUGCCUUUCCCA
This 82-nucleotide transfer RNA is filed under the name Pyramimonas parkeae. Its description in RNAcentral is "tRNA-Tyr". It matches the Rfam family "tRNA". Rfam says of the family: Transfer RNA (tRNA) molecules are approximately 80 nucleotides in length. Their secondary structure includes four short double-helical elements and three loops (D, anti-codon, and T loops). The record is from RNAcentral. Lineage: Eukaryota; Viridiplantae; Chlorophyta; Pyramimonadophyceae; Pyramimonadales; Pyramimonadaceae.